This 65-nucleotide transfer RNA is filed under the name Dipodomys ordii (Ord's kangaroo rat). It matches the Rfam family "tRNA". From Rfam's summary of the family: Transfer RNA (tRNA) molecules are approximately 80 nucleotides in length. Their secondary structure includes four short double-helical elements and three loops (D, anti-codon, and T loops). The record is from Rfam by way of RNAcentral. Lineage: Eukaryota; Metazoa; Chordata; Mammalia; Rodentia; Heteromyidae.
GGUGGCUCAGUGAUAGAGCGCUUGCCUAGCAUGCAUGGGGCCCUGGGUUCAAUUCCUCAGCACCA